UUUACCGUGCGAGGUAGCGCAAUCACUUGUCUUUUAAAUGAAGACCCGUAUGAAUGGCACGACGAGGGCUUAACUGUCUCCUUUUUCUAGUCAAUGAAAUUGAUCUCCCCGUGCAGAAGCGGGGAUAAACCCAUAAGACGAGAAGACCCUGUGGAGCUUUAGACAAAAGAACAGACCAUGUCAAAAAUCCCCGGAUAAGGGAAAGAACUAAUUAGACCCUGUUCUAAUGUCUUUGGUUGGGGCGACCACGGGGAAACGAAAAUCCCCCAUGUGGAAUGGAACCACACACACACCUUCUACAACCGAGAGUUACAACUCUAAGCAACAGAAAUUCUGACCAUAAUGAUCCGGCACCGCCGAUCAACGGAACGAGUUACCCCAGGGAUAACAGCGCAAUCCCCUUUUAGAGCCCAUAUCGACAAGGGGGUUUACGACCUCGAUGUUGGAUCAGGACAUCCUAAUGGUGCAGCCGCUAUUAAGGGUUCGUUUGUUCAACGAUUAAAGUCCUACGUGAUCU
Molecule: ribosomal RNA, 517 nt
Filed under: Hypoatherina tsurugae (cobaltcap silverside)
Lineage: Eukaryota; Metazoa; Chordata; Actinopteri; Atheriniformes; Atherinidae
Description: partial 16S rRNA
Rfam family: Bacterial large subunit ribosomal RNA
Source: RNAcentral